Molecule: long non-coding RNA, 535 nt
Organism: Mytilus californianus (California mussel)
Lineage: Eukaryota; Metazoa; Mollusca; Bivalvia; Mytilida; Mytilidae
Exons: 3
Source: RefSeq, a predicted model, not a curated record
GACGAACAUUAGUUACUUGCCAUCAGCUGAAACCAAGCAAUGAGAUAUAUGAAAAUAACGCUAUGUGUGUUUUCCGGAAUGCCAGAUCCCGAAUAUAUGAUCGACAGCAAAGAUCCAGAUUACAAACGAAUUAAAGGAAUGCUACCAAAGCCAGGUAGUCUCCAACUUCCUUCUUUGCUUGGCUAUUCGGGAUAUGUGAUUGAGACGAAACUUCCUUCACUUUCAUCGUGCUGUUCAUGCUGUUCUAGGAUAGAAAUUCCGCGUGGUUUUAAUCCAGAACUGGAACAAUUACUGUUUGAUAAAGGCAAAUAUGAUGAAGGCUUGCGAACAAUAGUGUUUAGUGAACUAGAUCAAGUAACUCAAUGAGUCCCUGGAUCUAAGUGACAAUUUUAAUGUGUAUAAAGUCAAGGUGUAACACUGAUAAAAAUGUUGUUGUCAUCCAAAUGAUUUUGGAAAGUUAUAAAAAAAAAUCAGUUUUAGAAAUAUUUAUCAAGACCAUAGAUUUAUAAGUACUAGCAUUGAUUUCAUAACUUGU